This is a small nuclear RNA of Sorex fumeus (smoky shrew), 104 nucleotides long. NCBI's taxonomy places the organism in Eukaryota, Metazoa, Chordata, Mammalia, Eulipotyphla, Soricidae. The record is from RefSeq and is a predicted model, not a curated record.
CUGCUCACUUCUGCAGCACAUAUACAACUGGAAUGAUACAGAGAAGAUUAGUAUGGCCCCUGCGCAACAAUGGCAUGCAAAUUCGUGAAGCAUUCCAUGUUUUU